RNAcentral lists this ribosomal RNA (1203 nucleotides) under Bacillus pumilus. RNAcentral describes it as "bacterial SSU rRNA". It matches the Rfam family "Bacterial small subunit ribosomal RNA", at positions 63 to 1251 of the family's 1533-position model. The record is from RNAcentral. Lineage: Bacteria; Bacillati; Bacillota; Bacilli; Caryophanales; Bacillaceae.
CGAGCGGACAGAAGGGAGCUUGCUCCCGGAUGUUAGCGGCGGACGGGUGAGUAACACGUGGGUAACCUGCCUGUAAGACUGGGAUAACUCCGGGAAACCGGAGCUAAUACCGGAUAGUUCCUUGAACCGCAUGGUUCAAGGAUGAAAGACGGUUUCGGCUGUCACUUACAGAUGGACCCGCGGCGCAUUAGCUAGUUGGUGGGGUAAUGGCUCACCAAGGCGACGAUGCGUAGCCGACCUGAGAGGGUGAUCGGCCACACUGGGACUGAGACACGGCCCAGACUCCUACGGGAGGCAGCAGUAGGGAAUCUUCCGCAAUGGACGAAAGUCUGACGGAGCAACGCCGCGUGAGUGAUGAAGGUUUUCGGAUCGUAAAGCUCUGUUGUUAGGGAAGAACAAGUGCGAGAGUAACUGCUCGCACCUUGACGGUACCUAACCAGAAAGCCACGGCUAACUACGUGCCAGCAGCCGCGGUAAUACGUAGGUGGCAAGCGUUGUCCGGAAUUAUUGGGCGUAAAGGGCUCGCAGGCGGUUUCUUAAGUCUGAUGUGAAAGCCCCCGGCUCAACCGGGGAGGGUCAUUGGAAACUGGGAAACUUGAGUGCAGAAGAGGAGAGUGGAAUUCCACGUGUAGCGGUGAAAUGCGUAGAGAUGUGGAGGAACACCAGUGGCGAAGGCGACUCUCUGGUCUGUAACUGACGCUGAGGAGCGAAAGCGUGGGGAGCGAACAGGAUUAGAUACCCUGGUAGUCCACGCCGUAAACGAUGAGUGCUAAGUGUUAGGGGGUUUCCGCCCCUUAGUGCUGCAGCUAACGCAUUAAGCACUCCGCCUGGGGAGUACGGUCGCAAGACUGAAACUCAAAGGAAUUGACGGGGGCCCGCACAAGCGGUGGAGCAUGUGGUUUAAUUCGAAGCAACGCGAAGAACCUUACCAGGUCUUGACAUCCUCUGACAACCCUAGAGAUAGGGCUUUCCCUUCGGGGACAGAGUGACAGGUGGUGCAUGGUUGUCGUCAGCUCGUGUCGUGAGAUGUUGGGUUAAGUCCCGCAACGAGCGCAACCCUUGAUCUUAGUUGCCAGCAUUCAGUUGGGCACUCUAAGGUGACUGCCGGUGACAAACCGGAGGAAGGGGGGGAUGACGUCAAAUCAUCAUGCCCCUUAUGACCUGGGCUACCAACGUGCUACAAUGGGACAGAAAAAAAGGGCU